This 790-nucleotide ribosomal RNA is filed under the name uncultured bacterium. Its description in RNAcentral is "bacterial SSU rRNA". It matches the Rfam family "Bacterial small subunit ribosomal RNA", at positions 10 to 755 of the family's 1533-position model. The record is from RNAcentral.
AGUUUGAUCCUGGCUCAGGAUGAACGCUGGCGGCGUGCCUAAUACAUGCAAGUCGAACGCUUUGUGGUCCAACUGAUUUGAAGAGCUUGCUCAGAUAUGACGAUGGACAUUGCAAAGAGUGGCGAACGGGUGAGUAACACGUGGGAAACCUACCUCUUAGCAGGGGAUAACACUUGGAAACAAGUGCUAAUACCGUAUAACACUAAUAACCGCAUGGUUAUUAGUUAAAAGAUGGUCUUGCUAUCACUAAGAGAUGGUCCCGCGGUGUAUUAGCUAGUUGGUAAGGUAAUGGCUUACCAAGGCAAUGAUACAUAGCCGAGUUGAGAGACUGAUCGGCCACAAUGGGACUGAGACACGGCCCAUACUCCUACGGGAGGCAGCAGUAGGGAAUCUUCCACAAUGGACGAAAGUCUGAUGGAGCAACGCCGCGUGUGUGAUGAAGGGUUUCGGCUCGUAAAACACUGUUGUAAGAGAAGAAUGACAUUGAGAGUAACUGUUCAGUGUGUGACGGUAUCUUACCAGAAAGGAACGGCUAAAUACGUGCCAGCAGCCGCGGUAAUACGUAUGUUCCAAGCGUUAUCCGGAUUUAUUGGGCGUAAAGCGAGCGCAGACGGUUAUUUAAGUCCGAAGUGAAAGCCCACAGCUUAACUGUGGAAGUGCUUUGGAAACUGGAUAACUUGAGUGCAGUAGAGGAGAGUGGAACUCCAUGUGUAGCGGUGAAAUGCGUAGAUAUAUGGAAGACACCAGUGGGCGAACGCGGCUCUCUGGACUGUAACUGACGUUGAGCUCG